This 956-nucleotide non-coding RNA is filed under the name Tragelaphus scriptus (bushbuck). RNAcentral's name for it is "12S ribosomal RNA". It matches the Rfam family "Bacterial small subunit ribosomal RNA". The record is from RNAcentral. Lineage: Eukaryota; Metazoa; Chordata; Mammalia; Artiodactyla; Bovidae.
CAUAGGUUUGGUCCUGGCCUUCCCGUUGUCUUUUAACAAACUUACACAUGCAAGUAUCCUCAUCCCAGUGAGAAUGCCCUCCAGGUCAGUAAGACUAAAAGGAGCUGGUAUCAAGCACACACCCGUAGCUCACGACACCUUGCUUAGCCACACCCCCACGGGAUACAGCAGUGAUAAAAAUUAAGCUAUAAACGAAAGUUUGACUAAGUUAUGUUAACUAGGGUUGGUAAAUUUCGUGCCAGCCACCGCGGCCAUACGAUUAACCCAAGCUAACGGGAAUACGGCGUAAAACGUGUUUAAGCACCACACCAAAUAGAGUUAAAUUUUAAUUAAGCUGUAAAAAGCCAUAAUUACUGAAAAAAUAAAUAACGAAAGUGACUCUACAGUAGCUGAUACACCAUAGCUAAGACCCAAACUGGGAUUAGAUACCCCACUAUGCUUAGCCCUAAACACAGAUAAUUAUAUAAACAAAAUUAUUCGCCAGAGUACUACUAGCAAUAGCUUAAAACUCAAAGGACUUGGCGGUGCUUCAUAUCCCUCUAGAGGAGCCUGUUCUAUAAUCGAUAAACCCCGAUAAACCUCACCAAUUCUUGCUAAUACAGUCUAUAUACCGCCAUCUUCAGCAAACCCUAAAAAGAAAUAAAAGUAAGCGUAAUCAUAACACAUAAAAAAGUUAGGUCAAGGUGUAACCUAUGAAAUGGGAAGAAAUGGGCUACAUUUUCUUAAACCAAGAAAACAACACACGAAAGCUAUUAUGAAAUUAAUAGCCAAAGGAGGAUUUAGCAGUAAACUAAGAAUAGAGUGCUUAGUUGAACCAGGCCAUGAAGCACGCACACACCGCCCGUCACCCUCCUCAAACAAUAUUAAUGUCCCAAAAUUUAUUUACAUGCAUUAACCACGAGAGAGGAGAUAAGUCGUAACAAGGUAAGCAUACUGGAAAGUGUGCUUGGAUAAAU